AUGGAUCUAGUGGGCAGCGUCGCCCAGAUCGUCAAAAUUGCCCUCCAGAUACAGGAGCUGGUGGAGACGGCUUACCAGAACAAGGAGGACUGCAAGAAGAUCGCCAAACGCGUGGGGAGGCUUCGCGCAAUCGUGGAACGCCUCAACAGCACGGAUGUCACCAGUGAGAAAACCAUGAUCGACGCGCUCAACGACCUGGAGGAGACGUUCCUUCAGGCCCUCAAGCUCGUCAAGGCCUGCCAGACCAAGAACAAAGUGUGGCUCUUCCUCAGGGCCGGGAACGUUUCCAAACAGCUGCGUGAGGUCAAGGACGAGAUGAUGGACCAUAUGCACAUUGCCAACUUCGGCAACUGCGCCCAGCAAACUGUUAUUAUCACCGAAGCAUUUAUUAGAGAUCCCGCGGUGAAUCCAAAGAAAUAUUUCAAAGUUCUGUCGAUGCAAGGGGAGCAAGAAAUGCAGGUGGUUGGUAGCCGCUUGGUAUGCCAGGACACAGAUAUUCGUAUUGCUGAGGGCGAUCAGCUGGAGGACGAACAUGCCAGUUACCCAAACGAUGUUACAAGAUCUGAAAUUCAUGGUGAGAAAGAAAGUUUUCCAGCAGGAAGCUUGGAGGAUACUAUAUCCCAAUUCAGAAAUUUCAGUUCAUCGGAACUGAAGGCGGUUACAAAAAACUUUUCAAAUCAACAUGUGAUUGGCAAAGGUGGUUCUGCUGUCGUUUACAAGGGUGUAUUGGCCGAUGGAGCAGUGGUUGCCAUCAAGAGUUUCUGUGUGGAUGCUUCGCAACAUGAACACGUAGUGCGUUACGCUGAAGUUUUCUCAGUGCUACGACAGCAUGAGAAUGUAGUUAAAUUUCUGGGAUACUGCCAAGAAACAAAGAUUCAAAUGGUUCCAAUCGAAGGCAAAUGUGUGGCUGCUGAAAGGCGUCAUAUGUUGGUGGUGGAAGAGUACAUGCCCAACGGAAGCUUGUCCGACAUUAUCGAUGGGUCAUCGCGGCAGCUGGAUUGGACCUCUGCAUUUCGAAUCAUUCGAGGCAUUGCACAGGGCGUAGCUCACAUCCACACCAAAGGCGCUGUCCACUUGGAUCUGAAACCAGCCAACAUCCUCUUGGAUUCAGACAUGAACCCUAAGAUCUGUGACUUUGAGAGGUCUAAAAUACUGAAUCAAAAGGAUGAAGAUGUCGCUGAGAGAGUGACACAAGAGUUGGCGGGAACACUGGGCUAUUUACCUCCGGAGUAUAUUGCAGAUGGUAUUUUUUCGUUUAAACAUGAUGUCUUCAGCUUCGGCAUUCUCCUCCUCCAUACCAUUAGCAAGUCAGGACUUCUGCAAGAUUCAACUGAUUGGAUUCCGAAUGCACUUAAAGGAGAAGAUGACGUGGAUAGCUUAUUAGGUCCAUCAUCGCGUGACGAGUCCGAGCUAAAGGAAAUAAAAAGAUGUAUGGACAUAGGGCUGCAGUGCACCGUGAAGGAGCGGACAGACAGACCCACCAUGUGGGAUGUUAUUGACAUGCUAGACGGAAAGGAACAGCUCCCAAAGCCCGCCCUGAGGAAUAAGGUUUCGUCGUUUAAGAAGAAAGGCUAA
RNAcentral lists this ribosomal RNA (1575 nucleotides) under Triticum aestivum (bread wheat). RNAcentral describes it as "partial small subunit ribosomal RNA". The record is from RNAcentral. Lineage: Eukaryota; Viridiplantae; Streptophyta; Magnoliopsida; Poales; Poaceae.